AUCCACUCAUCGAUGGUUUAUUAAAUAUGCAUUGGAAUAUGAACCAGUGUAUGAACGCUUAUAGCUUCUUAUAACACGUCGUAGCUCCUUAAAACACGUCAUAGCUCCUUAUAACACGUUAUAACACGUCAUAGCUCCUUAUAACACGUUAUAACACGUCAUAGCUCCUUAUAACACGUUAUAACACGUCAUAGCUCCUUAUAACACGUUAUAACACGUCAUAGUUCCUUAUAACACGUUAUAACACGUCAUAGCUCCUUAUAACACGUUAUAACACGUCAUAGCUCCUUAUAACACGUUAUAACACAUCAUAGCUCCUUAUAACACGUCAUAGCUCCUUAUAACACGUUAUAACACAUCAUAGCUCCUUAUAACAUGUUAUAACACAUCAUAGCUCCUUAUAACACAUCAUAGCUUCUUAUAACAUGUUAUAACACAUCAUAGCUCCUUAAAACACGUUAUAACACAUCAUAGCUCCUUAAAACACGUUAUAACACAUCAUAGCUUCUUAUAACACGUCGUAGCUCCUUAAAACACGUUAUAACACCUCAUAGCUUCUUAUAACACGUUAUAACACAUCAUAGCUUCUUAUAACACAUCAUAGCUCCUUAUAACACGUCAUAGCUCCUUAUAACACGUCAUAGCUCCUUAUAACACGUUAUAACGCAUCAUAGCUUCUUAUAACACGUUAUAACACAUCAUAGCUUCUUAUAACACAUCAUAGCUUCUUAUAACACAUCAUAGCUCCUUAUAACACAUCGUAGCUUCUUAAAACACGUCAUGUGUUAUAACCUAUCAUAGCUUAACACGUCAUAGCUCCUUAUAACACGUCAUAGCUUCUUAUAACACGUCAUAGCUCCUUAUAACACGUCAUAGCUUCUUAUAACACGUUAUAACACGUCAUAGCUUCUUAUAACACCUCAUAGCUUCUUAUAACACGUUAUAACACAUCAUAGCUUCUUAUAACACAUCAUAGCUCCUUAUAACACGUCAUAGCUCCUUAUAACACGUUAUAACACACCACAGCUUCUUAUAACACGUUAUAACACAUCAUAGCUUCUUAUAACACAUCAUAGCUUCUUAUAACACAUCAUAGCUCCUUAUAACACAUCAUAGCUUCUUAUAACACAGGUUAUAACACAUCAUAGCUCCUUAUAACACAUCGUAGCUUCUUAAAACACGUCAUGUGUUAUAACCUAUCAUAGCUUAACACGUCAUAGCUUCUUAUAACACGUCAUAGCUCCUUAUAACACAUCAUAGCUCCUUAUAACACGUCAUAGCUUCUCAUUAUAACACAUCAUAGCUCCUUAUAACACAUCAUAGCUUCUCCUUAUAACACGUCAUAGCUUCUCAUUAUAACACAUCAUAGCUCCUUAUAACACGCCAUAGCUCCUAAUAACACAUCAUAGCUUCUCCUUAUAACACGUCAUAGCUUCUCAUUAUAACACAUCAUAGCUUCUCCUUAUAACACAUCAUAGCUUCUCCUUAUAACACAUCAUAGCUUCUCCUUAUAACACAUCAUAGCUCCUCCUAAUAACACAUCAUAGCUUCUCCUUAUAACACGUCAUAGCUCCUAAUAACACAUCAUAGCUUCUCCUUAUAACACGUCAUAGCUUAUAACACGUCAUAGCUUCUCCUUAUAACACAUCAUAGCUUCUCCUUAUAACACAUCAUAGCUUCUCCUUAUAACACAUCAUAGCUCCUCCUUAUAACACAUCAUAGCUUGUCCUUAUAACACAUCAUAGCUUCUCCUUAUAACACAUCAUAGCUUCUCCUUAUAACACGUCAUAGCUCCUUAUAUCACGUCAUGAUGAUGAAGAGGAUGUGAAGGCUGGUGCUGGGGGGGAUGUCUUAAUGAUGAUGAUGAUGUGAAGGCUGGUGCUGGGGGGGUGUCUUAAUGAUGAUGAUGAAGAGGAUGUGAAAGCUGGUGCUGGGUGGGGGAUGUCUUAAUGAUGAUGAUGAAGAGGAUGUGAAGGCUGGUGCUGGGGGGAUGUCUUGAUGAUGAUGAUGAUGAUGAAGAGGAUGUGAAGGCUGGUGCUGGGGGUGUCUUAAUGAUGAUGAUGAAGAGGAUGUGAAGUCUGGGUGGGGGGAUGUCUUAAUGAUGAUGAUGAAGAGGAUGUGAAGACUGGUGCUGGGGGGAUGUCUGAAUGGUUAUGAUGAAGAGGAUGUGAAGGCUGGUGCUGGGGGAUGUCUUAAUGAUGAUGAUGAUGAUGAAGAGGAUGUGAAGGCUGGGGGGAUGUCUUAAUGAUGAUGAUGAAGAGGAUGUGAAGGCUGGUGCUGGGGGGAUGUCUUAAUGAUGAUGAUGAAGAGGAUGUGAAGGCUGGUGCUGGGGGGAUGUCAUAAUGAUGAUGAUGAUGAUGG
Molecule: long non-coding RNA, 2361 nt
Organism: Oncorhynchus tshawytscha (Chinook salmon)
Lineage: Eukaryota; Metazoa; Chordata; Actinopteri; Salmoniformes; Salmonidae
Source: Ensembl